RNAcentral lists this ribosomal RNA (936 nucleotides) under Arthrobacter sp. RNAcentral's name for it is "bacterial SSU rRNA". It matches the Rfam family "Bacterial small subunit ribosomal RNA", at positions 69 to 1014 of the family's 1533-position model. Lineage: Bacteria; Bacillati; Actinomycetota; Actinomycetes; Micrococcales; Micrococcaceae. The record is from RNAcentral.
AUGAUCCUCAGCUUGCUGGGGGGAUUAGUGGCGAACGGGUGAGUAACACGUGAGUAACCUGCCCUUGACUCUGGGAUAAGCCUGGGAAACUGGGUCUAAUACCGGAUAUGACCGCUCACCGCAUGGUGUGGUGGUGGAAAGCUUUUGUGGUUUUGGAUGGACUCGCGGCCUAUCAGCUUGUUGGUGGGGUAAUGGCCUACCAAGGCGACGACGGGUAGCCGGCCUGAGAGGGUGACCGGCCACACUGGGACUGAGACACGGCCCAGACUCCUACGGGAGGCAGCAGUGGGGAAUAUUGCACAAUGGGCGCAAGCCUGAUGCAGCGACGCCGCGUGAGGGAUGACGGCCUUCGGGUUGUAAACCUCUUUCAGUAGGGAAGAAGCGCAAGUGACGGUACCUGCAGAAGAAGCGCCGGCUAACUACGUGCCAGCAGCCGCGGUAAUACGUAGGGCGCAAGCGUUAUCCGGAAUUAUUGGGCGUAAAGAGCUCGUAGGCGGUUUGUCGCGUCUGCUGUGAAAGACCGGGGCUCAACUCCGGUUCUGCAGUGGGUACGGGCAGACUAGAGUGAUGUAGGGGAGACUGGAAUUCCUGGUGUAGCGGUGAAAUGCGCAGAUAUCAGGAGGAACACCGAUGGCGAAGGCAGGUCUCUGGGCAUUAACUGACGCUGAGGAGCGAAAGCAUGGGGAGCGAACAGGAUUAGAUACCCUGGUAGUCCAUGCCGUAAACGUUGGGCACUAGGUGUGGGGGACAUUCCACGUUUUCCGCGCCGUAGCUAACGCAUUAAGUGCCCCGCCUGGGGAGUACGGCCGCAAGGCUAAAACUCAAAGGAAUUGACGGGGGCCCGCACAAGCGGCGGAGCAUGCGGAUUAAUUCGAUGCAACGCGAAGAACCUUACCAAGGCUUGACAUGGACCGGUAAUGCCUGGAAACAGGUGCC